UUUUUUGGUGUGCAAUACCACACAUUUUAAUAAGUGUAGAUUAAUGUCACCACCACUACAAUCAAGAUACAGAACAGUUCUGUCACCUCAAAACACAUCAUUGUGCUAUCCCUUUGUAGUCACAUACUCCCCUUUAUCCCUAACUCCUGGGGACUACUGAUCUAGUUUUUAUCGCUAUCAUUUUAUCUUUUUGCGGGGGUCAUGUAAAUGGAAUCUACAGUGUAUAACCUUUUGAGAUUGGCUUCUUUCACUACACAUAAUGCCUUUGAAAUAUAUCCAAGUUGUUGUGUGCAUUAAUACUUUAUUAUUGCAGAGUAGUAUUUUAUUAUAAAUAUGUACCACAGUUUGUUUAUCCAUUUGUUAUUUAUUCAUUUACAUAUUGAAAGACAUUUCAGUUGUAUCUAAUUUGGGGAAUCAGGAAUAGAGCUGUAGUAAACGUUUGUGUGUGAGUUUUUGUAUGAACAUUUUCCUAGGGCAAACACUCAGGAGUAGGAUUAAUGGCCAUAUAGUAAGUGUAUAUUUAACUUCAUAAGAAGCUGCCAAACAGUCUUCCAGAGUGGCUGAGUCAGUUUUUGUUGCCAUCAGCAAUUUACAAGAGUACCUGCUGCUCUGCAUGUUCACCUGCUUAUGGUAUCAUCAUCAGUCUUUACAUUAGUUUUUUUUUUUUAACGUAGUCAUUAUCAUAGGUAUGUACUGGUCUCUUGUCAUGGUUUUAAUUUCCAUUACCCCAGUGGCUAACGAUGUUGAACAUAUUUGAUGCACUUAGUUGAUUUACAUAUGUCCAUUGUGAUGAAGUUCAAGUCUUUUGCCCAUUUUUAAUUGAGUUAUUUUAUUAUUGAGUUAUAACAGUUCUUUAUAUGUUCUGGAUACAAAUUCUUUGUCAGAUAUAUAUUUUAAAUAGACUUUCACCAAUCUAUACAUUAUUUCAUCAUUAUAUUUCAAUGUCUUUCAUAGAACAAUUUUUUAAAAAAGAUAAUGUUCAUCAAUUUUUAAAUAGAUUAUCUGUAUGGUGUCAUACCUAAGACAACUUUGCAUAAUCUUGGGUCAUGAAGAAUUUCUUUGAAUUUGGUUAUCAAAGUUGCUUUUUGAGCUCCUUCUUCUCCACUGUCUCCCCAGAAAUUGAUAGUUCCCUGCAUUCCCUUUUUGUGGUUGGAAAGCUGGGGCUUUAUUUACCCUGCUCUGCCACAUUUCCAACUCCACAGUCAAGCCUCAAGAGGCUAGAGAGAGAAAAAAUUAGUGGGGAUUCUUGCUACCCUCUUGGGGCCACAGCUCCUCUGCUCAGAGAAGAAAUUUAUGCCAGAAAUAUCUUAGGGUACAGUAUUCUUUUUUCUAUAUUUUGUACAAGUCUUCUGUUUUGGGUGCUGUAGGCUCCUGCUGCCAUGACUGUUGCUGCCAGUAGACUCUCCUGCUUCUUGAGCGGGAAGUAGUGGGCUGCUUCUUGAGAUCUCUCCACCCACAUCA
RNAcentral lists this long non-coding RNA (1461 nucleotides) under Macaca fascicularis (crab-eating macaque). RNAcentral's name for it is "lncRNA (ENSMFAG00000050363.1)". The record is from RNAcentral. Lineage: Eukaryota; Metazoa; Chordata; Mammalia; Primates; Cercopithecidae.